GCAUAGCUCAGCUGGUAGAGCAUGAGACUCUUAAUCUUAGGGUUGUGAGUUAGAGCCCCACUUUGGGUG
This 69-nucleotide transfer RNA is filed under the name Podarcis lilfordi (Lilford's wall lizard). Its description in RNAcentral is "tRNA.Lys". The stretch from base 3 to 62 matches the Rfam family "tRNA", at positions 7 to 64 of the family's 71-position model. From Rfam's summary of the family: Transfer RNA (tRNA) molecules are approximately 80 nucleotides in length. Lineage: Eukaryota; Metazoa; Chordata; Lepidosauria; Squamata; Lacertidae. The record is from RNAcentral.